Molecule: ribosomal RNA, 253 nt
Filed under: uncultured bacterium
Lineage: Bacteria
Description: partial 16S ribosomal RNA
Rfam family: Bacterial small subunit ribosomal RNA
Source: RNAcentral
UACGAAGGGGGCUAGCGUUGCUCGGAAUCACUGGGCGUAAAGCGCACGUAGGCGGAUUGUUAAGUCAGGGGUGAAAUUCUGGAGCUCAACUCCAGAACUGCCUUUGAUACUGAAGAUCUUGAGUUCGGGAGAGGUGAGUGGAACUGCGAGUGUAGAGGUGAAAUUCGUAGAUAUUCGCAAGAACACCAGUGGCGAAGGCGGCUCACUGGCCCGAUACUGACGCUGAGGCACGAAAGCGUGGGGAGCAAACAGG